RNAcentral lists this ribosomal RNA (1989 nucleotides) under human gut metagenome. Its description in RNAcentral is "bacterial LSU rRNA". It matches the Rfam family "Bacterial large subunit ribosomal RNA", at positions 1 to 1984 of the family's 2925-position model. The record is from RNAcentral.
GAAAGGAGAGAAGGGCGCAUGAAGGAUGCCUAGGCUCUCGGAGGCGAAGAAGGACGUGACAAGCUGCGAAAAGCCGCGAGUAGGAGCAAAUAUCCAUUGAAUCGCGGAUAUCCGAAUGGGGCAACCCGCCGGAGGCGACUCCGGCAUCCGCCACAAUGGCGGAGGCGAACCCGGGGAACUGAAACAUCUAAGUACCCGGAGGAAGAGAAAACAAACCAGUGAUUGCGCAAGUAGCGGCGAGCGAACGCGCAACAGCCCAAACCGCAGACGUGGCAACGCGUCGUGCGGGGUUGUAGGACCGUCAACAAACGAACAGUCAGAGGUUAGCGGAACCGUCUGGAAAGUCGGGCCGCAGCGGGUGAAAGCCCCGUACGCGAAAACCUUUGGCCAUCGGAGACGGCACCUGAGUAAGCCGGGACACGAGAAAUCCUGGCCGAAUCCGCGGGGACCAUCCCGUAAGGCUAAAUACUACCGAGAGACCGAUAGCGAACCAGUACCGUGAGGGAAAGGUGAAAAGAACCUCGAACAGAGGAGUGAAACAGACCCUGAAAUCAUGCGCCUACAAGCGGUCGGAGCCACCGUGUGUGGUGACGGCGUGCCUUUUGCAUAAUGAUCCUACGAGUUGCCGUCGCCGGCGAGGCUAAGUGCCAUUGGAGGCACGGAGCCGGAGCGAAAGCGAGUCAGAACAUGGCGCGCAGUCGGCGGGGGCAGACGCGAAACCAAGUGAUCUACCCUUGGGCAGGUUGAAGGCGGGGUAACACCCGCUGGAGGACCGCACCGGUAAGCGUUGAAAAGCUUUCGGAUGACCUGAGGGUAGGAGUGAAAGGCCAAUCAAACUUGGAGAUAGCUCGUACUCCCCGAAAUGCAUUUAGGUGCAGCCUCGGGCAAAAUACCGCGGAGGUAGAGCGACUGAUAAGAUGCGAGGGCUUCACCGCCUAUCAAGUCUUGACAAACUCCGAAUGCCGCGGCAUGAUACCCGGGAGUGAGGGCGUGGGUGCUAAGGUCCACGUCCGAAAGAGGAACAACUCAGACCACCGGCUAAGGCCCCCAAAUACGGGCCGAGUUGAAGCCAAUAACGAGGUGGGAUUGCAUGGACAGCUAGGAUGUUGGCUUGGAAGCAGCCAUUCAUUUGAAGAGUGCGUAACAGCUCACUAGUCGAGUGAUCCCGCAUGGAUAAUAAUCGGGCAUAAGUCCGUUGCCGAAGCCGUGGAACGCAGCAUAAAGCUGCGUUGGUAGGGGAGCAUUCCGGCAGCCGCAGAAGGUGGGGCGUGAGCCCUGCUGGAGGUACCGGAAAAGCAAAUGUAGGAAUAAGUAACGAUAAAGGGGGCGGGAAACCCCCUCGCCGUAAGACCAAGGGUUCCUGAUCAACGCUAAUCGGAUCAGGGUAAGCCGGGGCCUAAGUGGAAGCCGCAAGGCGCACACGAUGGACAAACGGUAAAGAAUCCGUUGCCCCGCAGUCCCAGUGAUGUGGAGACGGAGCAGUGACACACCCGCGUGCUGACGGAAUAGCACGUUGAACCGCGUAGGUAGACGCCGGGGAGGCAAAUCCCUCCGGCGUGCUGAAACGGGACAGUACGGAGCGCCCCCGGGCAAUCCGACAGCGGUGGUAACCAUACUCCCGAGAAAAUCCGCUAAACGCUAUAAAGGGCUGCGGGCCCGUACCGUAAACCGACACAGGUGGUCGGGUAGAAUAUACCAAGGCGCUCGAGAGAUUCACGGUUAAGGAACUAGGCAAAUUGACCCCGUAACUUCGGGAUAAGGGGUCCCCUCCUCCGGGAGGGGCGCAGAGAAUAGGUCCAGGCAACUGUUUAACAAAAACACAGGGCUGUGCGAAGUUGAAAGAUGAAGCAUACAGCCUGACACCUGCCCGGUGCCGGAAGGUUAAGAGGAGGCGUCAUCGCAAGAGAAGCGCUGAAUUGAAGCCCCGGUAAACGGCGGCCGUAACUAUAACGGUCCUAAGGUAGCGAAAUUCCUUGUCGGGUAAGUUCC